AUGGCGGACAUGGCAUAUUCGGAACGAGGUUGUUCAUCACAAGCCGCCGCCACCUAUGGAAGCUUCCAGACGUUUUUUGCUGGUGCUGGUAUAGUUUUGCGAGAUGAGAAGGGUGCUAUUAUUUUUUCUUCAUGCAGACAACUAUUUUCAUGCCGUGAUUCUAUAGAAGCUGAAUUGUGUGCUUGUAUGGAAGGCCUUUCAUUGGCUAUCCAACGAAGUGAUCUUCCAAUCAUGAUUGAGAUGGAUUCUUUUGUUGCAGUGAAGCUAAUCCAGGCCAAGGAGGUGGAUAGAUCUAUUUAUGCGUCGCUCAUUAAAGAGAUUAGAUAUCUUUUGUCUCUCCGUGAAUCUUGUAUUACUCAUAUCAAUCGUAGCCAGAAUAAGGUUAGUGAUAGCUUAGCUAAGUUUGCUCGUUUAGAGGGCAGAACCAUGACUUGGAUUGGAUCAUGGCCUUCAGUUGCUACAGAACUUUCUACGAUUGAUUAUGACAUGACCACCACUCCAUAUCAACAACCACCUUUUUUUGAGAAUCAACAACCACCUUUUCUUUUUGACCAUUUGUCAACAGCCACCUUGUUGGGCCGGGGAGCUCGCUUUGCAAAAAACUUGUCCAUGGGCUGGCAGUGGAAGGCCUAUUCAACGUGCAUGGAUGUCGACGAGGCCGGAAGCAUGGUGUUUGUUUAG
Molecule: ribosomal RNA, 681 nt
Filed under: Triticum aestivum (bread wheat)
Lineage: Eukaryota; Viridiplantae; Streptophyta; Magnoliopsida; Poales; Poaceae
Description: partial small subunit ribosomal RNA
Source: RNAcentral